Long non-coding RNA from Perca fluviatilis (European perch), 1856 nucleotides. RefSeq lists it as uncharacterized. The record is from RefSeq and is a predicted model, not a curated record. NCBI's taxonomy places the organism in Eukaryota, Metazoa, Chordata, Actinopteri, Perciformes, Percidae. The transcript is spliced from 3 exons.
UAAAACAAUAUCUGUAAUAGGAUGUUGAAUUCCUACUGACCCGAUUGUUUUGUUACUUAAUGAUGACUCUAAAAAAUUUGAUAGAACCAAACGGUAGAGUAUGGCUCUAACAAAGAUAUGGGACACAGAGUUGGGAUUUUCUUUAACUUCAUGAGUAAAGAUGUUUUGAUAUACUUAAUUUACAGCCUUACAAUCAUUUCUUUAUUUAUUUCUAGUCUAGAUGCUGCAAUGGUGUAUUUCCUCUACUUUUUGAUACCAACAUUGUCUUUAAUUAUUCAUAUUUAGAUAAUCCCUCAGCUUCUUCAAUUUAGUCCAGUCAUCGACAUCGAUAUGUAUGACUAGAUAUUGUCUUACAUUUUGGUUGUCAUACUAUGACAAGGUGCAUGUGGAGCAGCUGCAGAGAGAGACUUCUGGUACGGACUGUUUACUUUUUGUUCGGAUAAUUAUUUAUCAAAGAAUGGACAAAAUCAGUGGAGUUCUCUUAAGUUUGUUUACUUGCAGCAAGUAGAGUCAGUUUACAGCACUUCAGCAUAAGUACAGAAAAUGAGUGUAGAUUGUUCACAACAGUGUCUUUUUAAAGGAGUUGGGAGUCAAGUUAGUUAUUCGGCUCAUGCAAUCAGUAGCUUUUCUUCUUAUCUCUGGUCAGGCCUGGCAUCUCCUUCACAUUAUGCUCUCGGCCCUCAGGAUACAUCCUUUGCUCUUUGUAAGGUCAUUCAGCUUUCAUGAUUAACACAUGAAAGACAAAAAUACUCAAACAGAAAUACUAAAACAGAAAUACUACAACGGCAGUUUGAAUGCAAAUGGUUUAACAAAGAAACUGAAGCAAAACUGCUAUAAGCAUAUUUUUCUAACACUUUUCCUGUUAAAUACUGUUGUCCUUUAACAGUUGGACUGAAGUGUGUCAGUGAACUGAUGCCCUUAUUGUGAGCUGCAGAAUACAUCUUUAAACAUCAACAUGGUAUAGAAAGACUAUAGAGAAACUAUAAAAAACAGAGCUCUAUGUGUUAUUGAAAUUGAUUUAACCAUUCACAAACCAAAAUCAAACUGCUGUUUUUCAGUCCAAGAAACUAGACUGACUGCCACCGAGAGCAAAACAAGAGACCUUGAAGAAGAGAACGCAGACUUGCAGACCAGACUGAGCAGCAGUGAGUCCAGGAUUGACCAGCUGGAGAGACAAAAUGCAGGUGAUGACACACACACACACACACACACUGACAUGCAUUGACUUUUUUUUGUUUACAGAGAAACCGAAGGUGGCAUUUUAUACAGCUCUGACUGAAGCAGGAAAUGUUGGACCGUACAACAAAGACAUCACACUGAAAUACAGCAAGGUCUUCACCAACAUUGGCAAUGCUUACAAUCCAGCUACAGGUUUCUUCACAGCACCAGUCAGCAGGGUCUACUAUCUCCAGUUCACUGUGUGUGGUUCCAAAAAACUUUAUAUGGCUGUAUUUUUGUAGAACAAGAACAAUCAAAGGAUCAUGUAUAAUUAUAAGAUAAAGGAAGGAGAGGAACUUGAUUAUUUCACAAACUCUGUUGUCUUGGAGCUGAAAGCAGGAGAUGAAAUUCACCUGGAUCUCCCAUCAGACCAUUCAGUCUUUGAUGAUAGGAAUAACUACAGCACCUUCAGUGGCUCUCUUCUCUUCCCACUGUAAGGAUGCCGUUUAGGCUGCUGUGUGAUUGUACCUGUUGUUGUUGGCUACACUGGGAUUCUUUAGAAAGUGCUGAUAAAUGUCUGCACCGCUGCCUCCAAGACUAAUGUCACUGCAUGUAUCAAAUAAUGUGAUUCUGAAUCUGACCUCCCGCCUGUGUCAUCACAUGAAAACAACAUUCAAAUAAAUCAAAAAGUCAUUGAA